GAUGAACGCUGGCGGCGUGCUUAACACAUGCAAGUCGAACGGGGUACCCAUGACAGAGGCUUCGGCCAAUUGAUUGGAGUACCUAGUGGCGGACGGGUGAGUAACGCGUGAGGAACCUGCCUUGGAGUGGGGAAUAACAGUUGGAAACAGCUGCUAAUACCGCAUGAUGUGUCUGUGUCGCAUGGCACUGGACAUCAAAGAUUUAUCGCUCUGAGAUGGCCUCGCGUCUGAUUAGCUAGUUGGUGGGGUAACGGCUCACCAAGGCGACGAUCAGUAGCCGGACUGAGAGGUUGGCCGGCCACAUUGGGACUGAGACACGGCCCAGACUCCUACGGGAGGCAGCGGUGGGGAAUAUUGGGCAAUGGGCGCAAGCCUGACCCAGCAACGCCGCGUGAAGGAAGAGGGCUUUCGGGUUGUAAACUUCUUUUGUCAGGGACGAUAGUGACGGUACCUGACGAAUAAGCCACGGCUAACUACGUGCCAGCCGCCGCAGUAA
This 496-nucleotide ribosomal RNA is filed under the name uncultured bacterium. RNAcentral describes it as "partial 16S ribosomal RNA". It matches the Rfam family "Bacterial small subunit ribosomal RNA", at positions 28 to 523 of the family's 1533-position model. The record is from RNAcentral.